RNAcentral lists this small RNA (56 nucleotides) under Strombidinopsis acuminata. RNAcentral's name for it is "partial Mitochondrion-encoded tmRNA". The record is from RNAcentral. Lineage: Eukaryota; Ciliophora; Spirotrichea; Choreotrichida; Strombidinopsidae.
GGCAAUAUCUGGUAUUUAGGAUAAUGAUAAAGCAUAAGGGGAUAAUAAUAGAAAUG